Molecule: ribosomal RNA, 483 nt
Filed under: uncultured bacterium
Lineage: Bacteria
Description: partial 16S ribosomal RNA
Rfam family: Bacterial small subunit ribosomal RNA
Source: RNAcentral
GACGAACGCUGGCGGCGUGCUUAACACAUGCAAGUCGAGCGAGGCCCCUCCUUUGGGAGGGUGUCCUAGCGGCGAACGGGUGAGUAACACGUGGGCAACCUGCCCCCGGCUCUGGGAUAACUCCAAGAAAUUGGGGCUAAUACCGGAUAUGACCGCUGACCGCAUGGUCUGGUGGUGGAAAGAUUUAUCGGCUGGGGAUGGGCCCGCGGCCUAUCAGCUUGUUGGUGGGGUAGUGGCCUACCAAGGCGACGACGGGUAGCCGGCCUGAGAGGGUAACCGGCCACACUGGGACUGAGACACGGCCCAGACUCCUACGGGAGGCAGCAGUGGGGAAUAUUGCGCAAUGGGCGGAAGCCUGACGCAGCGACGCCGCGUGGGGGAUGACGGCCUUCGGGUUGUAAACCUCUUUCAGCAGGGACGAAGCGAAAGUGACGGUACCUGCAGAAGAAGCACCGGCCAACUACGUGCCAGCCGCCGCGGUAA